UCACGGGGCAUGCAUCAGUACGGCGAGUGAGCGGCAAGAGCUCAAAUUUGAAAGCUGGCUCCUUCGGGGUCCGCAUUGUAAUUUGCAGAGGAUGCUUCGGGUGCGGCCCCUGUCUAAGUACCCUGGAACGGGUCGUCAGAGAGGGUGAGAAUCCCGUCUGGGAUAGGGUGUCCGCGCCCGUGUGAAGCUCCUUCGACGAGUCGAGUUGUUUGGGAAUGCAGCUCUAAAUGGGUGGUAAAUUUCAUCUAAAGCUAAAUACUGGCCGGAGACCGAUAGCGCACAAGUAGAGUGAUCGAAAGAUGAAAAGCACUUUGAAAAGAGAGUUAAAAAGCACGUGAAAUUGUUGAAAGGGAAGCGCUUGCGACCAGACUCGCCCCCGGGGUUCAGCCGGCAUUCGUGCCGGUGUACUUCCCCGGGGGCGGGCCAGCGUCGGUUUGGGCGGCCGGUCAAAGGCCCCUGGAAUGUAGUACCCUCCGGGGUACCUUAUAGCCAGGGGUGCAAUGCGGCCAGCCUGGACCGAGGAACGCGCUUCGGCACGGACGCUGGCAUAAUGGUCGCAAACGACCCGUCUUGAACCACGGACCAA
RNAcentral lists this ribosomal RNA (586 nucleotides) under Aspergillus bombycis. Its description in RNAcentral is "partial large subunit ribosomal RNA". It matches the Rfam family "Eukaryotic large subunit ribosomal RNA", at positions 66 to 669 of the family's 3401-position model. The record is from RNAcentral. Lineage: Eukaryota; Fungi; Ascomycota; Eurotiomycetes; Eurotiales; Aspergillaceae.